Long non-coding RNA from Vespula vulgaris, 1715 nucleotides. RefSeq lists it as uncharacterized. Lineage: Eukaryota; Metazoa; Arthropoda; Insecta; Hymenoptera; Vespidae. The transcript is spliced from 3 exons. The record is from RefSeq and is a predicted model, not a curated record.
CAGAUCCCGGAGGACUGGCGAUCCCACCAGGUACUAGCCGACCUCCUGCAUGCAACACAACAACAACAACGGCACAUAGACAAAAGAGAGAAAGGAGUUCUAUCAGGAUUGCCGAGCUCGACAGUGGCGUAGAAGAGAAGUCGAAUGAGAGGAGAAGGUUGACGAUUUAAAGUUCAUCAAGUAGAAUUCGAUCUGACUUCGAGACAUUGUUUAUGUGUAUCUACGUGAUUAUUAAAAUAAAAGAGAGAAAAAAUAAGUAAAUAAAUAAAAAUUGACAAAUUAGAGAAUAAAGAUAAUUCACACAAUAUAAAAAUAAAUAAAUAAAUAAAAAAAGAAGACAGAUAUAUUGACAGAUAAAUAGAUAGAUAGAUAAAAAGAUGGUCGGAUAAGUACAAGACGAAGAGAGGAAAAAAAAAAAAAGUCACGCUCGAUCUUUGAUCUUUGAUCGUCCGUUGACAUAGUCGAUGGAGCCUCGCGUUAAUGCGAGGAAAGGGGAUCGUUUUGAGCAACGUCGAUCGCAGAGAUUUCACGACGGUCGCACUCGGUUACGUCGCAAGAAUGCCGACGGAUGGCCUGUACGAUCUUGAGUCACCCGAAGGUGGAACAACCGGUCUCGGCUACCGCCUGACUAAGUCAAAUUACAAAGGCAGGCAAGCAAUGACGAUGAUAAUGAUAAAGAUGAUGAUGAUGAUGAUGAUAAUUAUAAAAAAUGAUUUACGUACGAAUGAUAAUUACGUAGUUAAAUAUACUUAAAUGAUAACUAGAUAAAUAUAUAUAUAUGCAUAUACAAAUAUAUAUAUAUAUAUAUACAUACAUAACAUACGUAUACGUAUAUGUAUGUUGUAUAUAGGAAAUAGAAUGAGAAGAGAACGAGAGAUGCAUUAUCCGAAGAAUAACAUAUCAUAUGGUUACUACGUAAUGCUCACAAUUCGUAUUGUUAGUGAUGCCAAAUAGACAAUGGAACGAAUGACACAUGAACGAAUGAUCUAAUCGUAUUCUAGCAAGAGAUUUCUAGUGGUAGUAAUAAUAUAAUGCACGGAAAGGAGACACAAGAUCGUGCAAAAAUUCGUCGGGGCAUAAGUACUCAUGGCGGCGAAAGCAUGAGAAAGCACGGUGGGGGAGAUCCUAUGCUUAAUUAAGGCGAGGACAACGGCACUGCAAUUAUUCGUUGAGUACCCGCCGGCCUGACAGCCAUUCAACUGCUGCUGCUGCUUGCUUGCUGGCUUGCUUGCUUGCUUGCUUGCUUUCUUUCUUUCUUUCUUUCUUUCUCGUUUCACGCUGCUUUUUCGUUCUACACUUUUCUCCGGGCGGUUCCAAAAAAAAAAAGAAAGAAAAAAAAAGAGAGAGAGAGAAAGAGAAAAAAAUAGAGAAAGAAUCCGUUCGAACUACGAAUCAUUCGUAUCUUUCCAGAAUCGAGAAAAAUAGGUGUCUCGAGAAUUUGACGUUUCUCGAGAGAUACGCCAAACUCGUCCCGACGUUUUCUCUUUCUCUCUUUCUUUCUCCUUUUUUUUUUCUUUCUUUCUUCUCUUUCCAAGAACAAGAAAUUUCAAACGAUAUUGAUUUCUUUUCGAAACGAUCAUAAAGAGAAAGAGAGAGAGAGAGAGAGAGAUGGGGGGGGGGAGGAAGAGAGAAAUAACUUCUCUUGCAAUUAAGACUGGAGGAACAAAAUAAGAAAGAUAAAAAAGAAAAGAAUAAAAAAAAAAAAAAAAGAAAAA